AUGGAAAAUAUGUACAAGGAGAUCCCAGACAAAGCUUUGGAAACAUACAAGUUUGGAUCUGUGCAUUACUUGUUGUCUGGUCUAGCCACCAUAAACACAAUCUUGAGGCAUACUCUGUUACCCAAAUCUGGGGAUCACAAGAUGAUCAGAGGCCAUUCAAUCAACUUGCUGCAGAUACUUGAUGUGCCUCGGAAAUUCAAAGUUAUGAGCCUGAUUGUUGAAACAAUCAAGAGGACAGCUUCAGAUCUGAAGAGAUCUUGUGGGUAUGCUCCACACAUUCAGGUUCUCAUCAACUCCAAGAUGGGCACAUGCGCUUAUCUGUUGGACAAGGAGCACUUACCCUUAAGGCCAUAA
Molecule: ribosomal RNA, 354 nt
Filed under: Triticum aestivum (bread wheat)
Lineage: Eukaryota; Viridiplantae; Streptophyta; Magnoliopsida; Poales; Poaceae
Description: partial small subunit ribosomal RNA
Source: RNAcentral